AGCCAAAGCUGUCUCGAUUACAUAACCUCAUCUUGAAAGCCCCAACUCCAAAUCUGAGUAAAAGAGAAGACAGAGGAGUCUCCUAGGUAGGCACUAGGAAGGCACUUUGAAGUCUGACCUUACUACCACAUAACCAGCACACAGGUAUGCUUAGAAUUGUUAUUUAAUUAAAAAUUUUACAGGAUUACUUUUAUAUCAUAGUAUUAGUAUAUUUUAUAAUAUUACAAGUAUUGUUGUACAUGAGAGAUUUUUUCAGUAUAAAUUUGCACAAGGAAUAAGAAUCAAAAAGACUAACAGUUCUAGCUUUACACUACUUUCUAAUACUUAACAUGUUUCAACUCAUCUUACAGCAAUUCAUAAACUCAGGGGCAUGUAUACUAAAAAUAUUAGCUAGUAUAAUAUUAGCAAUAGUAGUAACUUCAAAUAAAAUGUGUAGUGUGUGUUUAUCAAAACUAAUAACAUUUUGUUCAUUAAAAUGUUAAUGGUUUCAUUACAUAAAAUAACUAAUUAUUUUCUUCACUAUUACUUAGAUAUUAUUCUAAAUUUGAACAAUUUUAAUGUCUUUUGAAAAUAUCAUAGGAAAAAAAGGAGAGAGAAUUUAAUCAAAAUUGAGAAAAAGAUCAGAAGAAUAUUAAGGGGAAGGAAGAAGAGGAGUGUAUUAAGGGGAAGGAAGAAGAUAAGUGUAUUAAGGGGAAGGAAGAAGAGACAGAAAAAGGAAAGAACAGUUGAAUUUAUCUGAACAAAUUUCAUAUGUGAAUAUACCACAAUGAAUCACCACAUCAAAUACAUUCACCAAUCAUUUUCAAAUAAUAAAAAAAUCUACAUAUAAAUUGCAGAGGGAUUGCCAGGCACAGUGGCACAGGUUUGUAAUCCCAGCAGCUCAAUAGGCUGAGACAGGAGGAUCAAAGCCAGUCUCAGCAAGUGCAAGGCACUAAGCAACUCAGUGAGACCCUGUCUCCAAAUAAAAUACAAAAUAGGGCUGGGGAUGUUGCUUAGUGGUUGAGUGCCCCUGAGUUCAAUCCCAAGUUAAAAAAUAAAAGAAAAAUUGCAAGGGGAUCAAUAGAGUAGAAGGAGUAGAGGAAAGAAUUUGAGAGGGUUAAGUGCUGGGGACAGAAUUAGAACAAAUCAUAUUCUAUGCUAUUGUGAUAAGGUCAAAGUGUAUCCUAAUGAUGGACAUAACUACAAAGAAUAAAAAAUGGUUAUCAAACAAAAAAAUGUAAAAAGAGGUAUUAUUUAGCAGUCAGGGUUAUCAAUUAAAAUAUUUCACAAUUUUAAAAAUUGUCCUAGGGAUGCAUGGAGAUAGGAAAAUAGUAGAAUAAACUUGAAUUUUGUAUGAAGCAAAGUAUAAAAUGUUUUCAUAAUUGACAUUACUAUAGUGAUAUUAGUAUAUACAGCCCAGUAACAUUUAUCUGUUUUAAAUUUAAUAUUUCUUCAUGUUGGAAAACACUGGUUCUUAGUACCUGUCAUAUUUAAGGAAGUAUCUGCUUCACCUGUCAGAUCUGUAGGCUUUGAGUUCUUCUUUAUUAAUGCAAGUCAUUGAGAAAGAACAUAGAAUUUAACACCAAAAUUUUCCAGGUUAGUCAUUCUUUGAUGAAGAUUUGCUGAAUUUUCUAUUCUAAAAAAAUUUCCCAGAGAUGAAAAGAGAUAGAAAACUGAAGAAUUUUAAAUUUGUGUUGAUAUGAACAUUAUUUUGUUCAUGGCUUGGCAGAGUAAUGUUAUUAUACAUAAAUAUUGGCCCACUUAUCUGGCUACAGUUUAUAUCCCCUACGUUAAAAAUCAUUGUUCCUUGAUUCCAGAAAAUGUCUAGAAUUGUCACCUUCUCCCAGCUGAUCUAUAAGCAUUACUCUUUACUAAUGCACAAUCAUUAUAAAAAUACAUAAAAUUUUAAACAAGAAUUCUUGAAUAAGUAGCAAUUUCUUUAAAAGCAAGAUAUAUUUUGCUUAUGUUAUAUUUACUGAAUCCCCUAGGAAUAAAACAAAGUGGUUUUUUUUUUGUAUUUUCAUUGAAAUUUUUGUAGCAAAUAACAGCAGUUUACAAUUAUCUAGAGAAAGAUAUUUCAUUUUUAAUGAAAAAUAUACAAUUAUCUAAAGCAAUUUUUGCUGUUUCUGUCACUCAAAUCUUUAUUAAUGACGUUCAGAAUUGAAAAUAAUAUAUAAAAUUAUUUUCCAAAUACCCUUUUUAUGCAGUUACUGAAUAAUCACAGAAUCCACAUUUGCAUAUUUAUUAAGGUACAUUACUUUAAACUUCAGAAAUUUGUAUGAUUUUGAAGAAAAAGAAAUGAUCAUUAGACUACAAUAGUGGAGAUGUUUUCCAUCCUGAUCCACUAAUGUCUCAAUUCAGGCAUUGGAAGCAGGAUGACAGAUGCUUGAGAAAUAUGACCAGAUAUCCUGAAGAAGACUCAAAGUCAUCACUCGGGUAUAUUUCAGGGUCUAAAUGAAUGUGCUGGUGAAUGUUUCUGAGCUAAGGAAUAUUCCAGUGUCUUCCAAAAAGUAUCCAUUCAAAUUGAAGACUUACACUUUUAUGUAAACUUGCUCAUAGCAGACAUUUAUUUCUCUUCUUUGGUGACAAAUUUACCAACUAGAAUAUGGCAGGUUGAAUUUGAUUAGUCCUAUUACCAAUGCCUGAAUUGUAGGUUUGAAAUAUUUGAUUUGCCUUUAAAUCACAAGUUUUGUUGCAUAUACAAAGUGUGUGUGUGUGUGUGUGUGUGACCUCUUCCUUUUUUUAUCUGGUGAGAGACAAGCAAAGAGAUACACUAGAUGAGUAAAGGCCCACCUUAGCUGGGCGUGAUUGUGACAAUUGUUUCAGAAAUUCAGGAGUCAAAAAUGGGAGGAUGCCAAGUUCAAGACCAGUCUUGGCAAAUUAGUGAAGUCCUAAGACAUGACAGUGAGAAACUGUCCAAAAUUUAAAAUAACAAGGACUGGGGAUAUAGUAAAACACCCCUAGGUCCAAUCACCAGUCUCUCUAACAAAAAAAUGUCCACUUUGUUGCUUUCUACAAAAUCAUUGACCUGACUUAGGCUGGAUAUUCAGCUAAUUUCAGCAAGUAGUUUAUGAGAAUUCUCUUCCUGUUUGUUAAUCACCUAAAAAUCUAAUGUUGCCUUCUGAUUUUCUUCUUCACAAAACACAUACAUAUGUUGGGGUAGGAAUUAUCCCAAUGCAAAGACAAAAAUGCUAGCUCUAAAUUUCAUAGGAUUCAGCUUUUUACUCCAAAUGUAUCUCUUGCAUUUCACCCUGCUCACAUGUAUCUGUUCAUCCUGUACAUGGGUUCUGUGACUUCCCUGGGCUGAGUCUCUUGUGUUUCUCUGUAUUUAUUUCUAUGCUCACUCACUUCAUUUCAUAAGAAUUAUGUUGAGGUUAUUGACUCUCAUUAACUCUGCCUUUCAUUAGAUAGUUAUUUUGAUAAAUUGGAGCAUAUAAAUCAUUUAUUACAUAAUACUUACUACUCAUAUAAAUGUCCAGAAUUAAUUUACUACCAUUGUUUAAUAGAUCAAAAACUUUAAGACAGGUGAAAGAGAUUGAGGAAAACACCUGCAUUAGAGCUAGGGGCCUGCUAUUCAGUGGGACAUUGACCAUGCAUCCAACGAACGUGAAUAAUGUGAGAGGCUAACUGAAGGACACUAAACAUCAGUUCCUACUGCCGAGCAUCUAAACAUUUGUCAGAAUUUAACUGAAAAAUUUGCAUGGGACAUUUUAUGUAAAGGAUGCCUCACCAUCAGUGACCUGGAUAGACUAUUUUCUCUAAUGCACAGGUCUGAGAAAAUUAAGAUAGAAACUGGCAUUUCUUAGUGCUCAUCCAUGAGAAGGAGGUCAUACGAGCUGUCUGCCUGUUUCCCUGGAGUGUUUAUCAAUAUGGGAACAUUUAAAUAUAUUGCCUGGAGUAAUUUAAAAGUGAGGGGAGAAAAGUUAGAAUAUCAUCAAUAUAUAAGCACUUAAGUUUGAAAAAAAGUGGCCAAUCUUAUGGUAGACUUUUGUACUAUAAGGUAUGAAAUUUUUCAUAUGCUAAAUUAAACCUCCUAAACCAAGUUUAGAUAGAGAUAAAACAUACAACAAUAAUUAAAAUUUACAUAGGGCUUCAAAUAUAUUAAUCAUUAUUUAAUUGUUCACACUGACAAUGCUAGUAAAUAGUUUUAUCUUGGUGCUGCUUUAACUCAGGAUAUAAACGGAGAUGAAAUUAAUGAUGUAAGGUGACAAGGCUCACCAUUAUAGUAAGUGGUGUGGCAUGAGUUAAAUGAAGCCAUCUGGGUAAGGAAUACACGCUACAAAAUUUUUCACAAUUCUGUACUUCUAUAAAGAAACCAUGAGACUGAGCAUAAUGAGAGCAUUUCCCUGGAAGAUUCCAAUUUUCACUAGUCCAUUCUUCAUACCAACAACUGUUUAUGGGAAAUUUCUAUGUAGCAGCAGUAUUUCAGAUACUACCAUUUUAAAGACAAAUAAGACAAUAUUUUCACCUUUAAGAACUCUUCAGGAAGAAAUUAAAAGUAAGUCAUUAUAACAUGAUAAAAUUUAUAACAUAAAGGAAAACAUACUAUGUCUCUCAGGUUGAGAAACAGAGUAAGAUAUUAGCAUAUCCAUGAAGUGCUUGGGAAAUAUACAAAUUGUUGAUCUGAAGAAUAAGUGGUGCAUAAGUUAAAAUAAACUAAUGAAUUUAUAUUUAUUUAUUUUUUCAAUGCCUGGGGUGGAACAAAACCUUUCUAUGGGCCAAUCCAGCACUCUACCACUGAGCCACACACUAUCCCUUCAACUUAAAUUGACAAUGGAAAAAAGACUCUAUCCUAUUUACUAGAAACUUUUUUUUAGUAACUAAUGCUUCUAGAUACAGUAAAAGGUAUUAAAAUGAAAGAAAAAUGCAAAGAAAAUACUACUUCUGCCAAACACUUCUGAUUUUCUUUCCAGAAACACAUUUGUUUCAACCUUCAACAUCCUCAUGAAGAUGAAACAACGCUCCAGAUUCAGUGCCAUAAGACAUGCCCUUUAUCUCCAAGCUGGCAUCAGGACUCCGCAAACACCUUUCUGUUAUGUCUGAACACUGCUGCUGUCCUUGUGGGCACCAAGCCCAGGCUCACCAACCUCCCCAUCCACACACCUGGCUCUACACACAUCCUCAUGCUCCUCACCAUGGGACUUUUGAUAUCUAGAGACAUUUGGGAAACAGGACAUUCCGGUUGACCUGAAAUGCAAAGUACGUGUCUUCCUGCACAGUGUCAUGAGGGGACUCUCCAUCUGCACCACCUUGUCCUGAGUGUGCUUCAGGCCAUCACCACCAGUCCCCAUGGCUCCUGGCUUGCCAACUUCAUAUUUAAAUCCAAAAAUCACAUCCUGUGGCUAUUUCUGAUCUUGUGGGUCUUCUCCAUGUUCAUUGCUAGCAACCAGCUUCUGUGUACUGUGGCCACAAACAAUAAGACGGUAUUCUGCUUGUCACUGACUGCUGUUACUUUCCACCAAUUUACAGCCAUCUCUUUCUCAACUGGAAGGCAUUAGAGAUGUCUUUUUGUGAGCCUUAUGGUUUUUUUCUAGUGGAUACAUGAUCAUGCUCUUAUACAGACAUAAAGAGCAGUCCAUGUCUCUUCACAGUUCUGGGUUCUCCCCCAAACCUUCCCACAACAAAGGGCCACUCACACCAUCCUGAAGCUCAUCAGUAGCUUAGCCAUCCUGCACUGUGCAGAAGUUUUUCAUUUCAUUGUUCACAGGCAUGACAUGGACAAAUGACCCUAUUCUGGUGUGUUUCUAUAUCCUUCUGGGCAAUGGCCAUGGCUUAGUUGGUUUGUGCUGGCACUCAAAUAACAAAAAUAAUGCAAACCAAAUGUAGAGACAAAGGUCAGUUUCUGACAAAACUGAUUUAAGGAAGCUUUACCACUCUCAUUAAAACAAUUUUCUCUAUUUUAUAGAAUUGAAUGAAAAAAUAUUAAUGAAUAUAUCAAAGUUUUUGUCAGGUAAUGUGACCUAUGUAAUUAUUAAGGAUCUUAUGUAUAAUUUUGCCUUAUAUUUGCAUGAAUUUCUUGAUUUACAGCUAUGAAUUUUUAGUUUCAUGUUACUUUCUGUCACAUAUAUUAAUAAUAUGCAUAUUUUGUGAAUAUUAUUUUUUAAGUUUUUUUAAAUGAAAUUCUAUUUUUAUUUAUUUAUUUUUGUGGUGCUGGGGAUUAGAACAUAGAGCCUUGUGACUGCAAAGCAAGAACUCUACCAACUGAGCUACAUCCCCAGACCUUAAUUUUAUUCUUUUACGUUAUACAGAAUAAUUAAAUUUAUUUUUACAUUAUUAUACAAGCAUAGAAUACAUUUUGUUCUAAUUCAGUCCUAAGUACUUUCCCUUCCCUCCCAUCUUCCCAUCACCUUAUUCAUUUCCUCUACUCUACUAAUUUUUCUGCUAUUAAUUUAGUUUUUAAAUUUAUGUUUUUGUAUGUAUAUGAUAGUGAGAUUAAAUUUAGUUCAGAUACAUUCCAGUUCUUUCCCUUUCCCAUCCCUCCUUUCUUUCCUUCAUUCUUUAUCUAUUCCACUGAUAUUUCUUCUGUUCUUUUUUCUAUAUUGCCCCUUAUUCUGUAUAAAUGUAGCUGUGUUAUAGUCUUCUUUAAGAUUAUUCUAGCAACCAGGCAGCACAUUUCAAUUUGCAAAAAUGUAAAAAUCCAAAUGAUUAUCAAGAUAAGAAUGUAUAAACAAAUGUGGUGUGUAUAUGCAUAUAUAUUUAAUUAUAUAUAAAUUUAUGAAUAGGCCCGUGUUUGUGUGUGUGUGCGUGUGUAUUCAAGUACAUAAAUAUAUUUGUAAUUUAUACAUGUAUAUUUUAGAAUAUCAAUAUGACAAAAAGGAAUAAAAUUCUGAUAUAUACGACAACAUUUAUAGGUCUCCAAAAUUUUAAGCUAAUUAAUCA
RNAcentral lists this long non-coding RNA (6858 nucleotides) under Marmota monax (woodchuck). The record is from RNAcentral. Lineage: Eukaryota; Metazoa; Chordata; Mammalia; Rodentia; Sciuridae.